This 73-nucleotide transfer RNA is filed under the name Camelus bactrianus (Bactrian camel). It matches the Rfam family "tRNA". Rfam says of the family: Transfer RNA (tRNA) molecules are approximately 80 nucleotides in length. RNAcentral also lists the same sequence under 2 other names. The record is from Rfam by way of RNAcentral. Lineage: Eukaryota; Metazoa; Chordata; Mammalia; Artiodactyla; Camelidae.
GAGGGUAUAGCUCAAGUGGCAGAGUGUCUGCUUAGUACACACGAGGUCCUGGGUUCAAUCCCCAGUACCACCU